Molecule: non-coding RNA, 147 nt
Organism: Vicia faba (fava bean)
Lineage: Eukaryota; Viridiplantae; Streptophyta; Magnoliopsida; Fabales; Fabaceae
Source: the annotation of a GenBank genome assembly
AUGAUUUCCGACAUUGGAGGUAUUGGUCAAAGUGUACUAAAAUUGUUUACUUGUUGUUUUAUUAUAGUGUACUGGGAUGACACAUUGAGAAUAACUGGCCUUAUAAUUAUGUCGGCUGGAAACCUGGAAUCGUCAACUAAAGAUUAA